RNAcentral lists this ribosomal RNA (440 nucleotides) under uncultured bacterium. RNAcentral describes it as "partial 16S ribosomal RNA". It matches the Rfam family "Bacterial small subunit ribosomal RNA", at positions 355 to 786 of the family's 1533-position model. The record is from RNAcentral.
UAGGGAAUCUUCCACAAUGGACGCAAGUCUGAUGGAGCAACGCCGCGUGAGUGAAGAAGGCUUUCGGGUCGUAAAACUCUGUUAUUGAAGAAGAACGUGCGUGACAGUAACUGGUCAUGCAGUGACGGUAUUCAAUCAGAAAGUCACGGCUAACUACGUGCCAGCAGCCGCGGUAAUACGUAGGUGGCAAGCGUUGUCCGGAUUUAUUGGGCGUAAAGCGAGUGCAGGCGGUCUUUUAAGUCUGAUGUGAAAAGCCUUCGGCUUAACCGAAGAAGGGCAUCGGAAACUGGGAGACUUGAGUGCAGAAGAGGAGAGUGGAACUCCAUGUGUAGCGGUGAAAUGCGUAGAUAUAUGGAAGAACACCAGUGGCGAAGGCGGCUCUCUGGUCUGUAACUGACGCUGAGGCUCGAAAGCGUGGGUAGCAAACAGGAUUAGAUACC